RNAcentral lists this ribosomal RNA (320 nucleotides) under uncultured bacterium. Its description in RNAcentral is "bacterial SSU rRNA". It matches the Rfam family "Bacterial small subunit ribosomal RNA", at positions 28 to 334 of the family's 1533-position model. The record is from RNAcentral.
GAUGAACGCUAGCUACAGGCUUAACACAUGCAAGUCGAGGGGCAGCAUGGGCUUAGCUUGCUAAGCCCGAUGGCGACCGGCGCACGGGUGAGUAACACGUAUCCAACCCUUCCGGUAACUCCGGUAUAGCCUUUCGAAAGAAAGAUUAAUCCCGGAUAGUAUGGUGAUUCCGCAUGGUUUCUCCAUUAAAGGAUUCCGGUUACCGGAUGGGGAUGCGGUUCCAUUAGGCAGUUGGCGGGGUAACGGCCCACCCAAACCUACGAUGGAUAGGGGUUCUGAGAGGAAGGGUCCCCCCACAUUGGAACUGAGACACGGUCCAA